RNAcentral lists this long non-coding RNA (5813 nucleotides) under Sus scrofa (pig). RNAcentral describes it as "lncRNA (ENSSSCG00040005969.1)". The record is from RNAcentral. Lineage: Eukaryota; Metazoa; Chordata; Mammalia; Artiodactyla; Suidae.
AUCCAUAUGAUGCAAAGUUCCCCAGUUAGGGAUCGAACCCCUACCACAGCAGUGACAACACUAGAAGGCCACCAGGGAACUCAAAGUACUCUUAUAAAUAGCUGUUUAGAGCACUCAGGUCCCCUACACCCUGCACAGCGCUAUGAGUAUUAGGAUUUAUAACAAAAAGUUUGCAAAUUCAUUUUUCUAAUUUUUUUCUUUUUUAAAAUUACUAUUAAAGUAUAGUUGAUUUUCAAUGUUUUGUCAAGUUCUGUUGUAUAACAAAGUGACCCUGUGAUGUAUAGCAGGAUCCCACUGCCCAUCCAUUCCAGAUAUAACAUUUUGCAUCUUCCAAACCCCCCAAAAUGCCCAUCCAUCCCACUCCCUCCCCUUCCCCCUCUACCCAGGAACUCCAAGUCUGCUCUUCUUGGCCAUGAUCUGUUUCUAUUUUUGUUUGUUUGUUUUUAGAUAGAACCAUCUGUUCCAUAUUUUAUAUUAUACAAAUAAGUGACAUCAUAUGGUAUUUGUCUUUUUCUUUCUGGCAUACUUCACUUAGUAUGAGAGUCUCUAGGUCCAUCCAUGUUGCUGCAAAUGGCAUUAGUUUGUCUUUUUUGUGGCUGAGUAGUAUUCCUUCGUAAAUAUUACCACAUCUUCUUAUUCUCACACCUUUUUUAUUAUUAGACAAACUGAACUUUUUCUAUGUUUAUUAUUGUAUUUGUCUUGUGCAUCACCUACUUUAUCAAGGAAAAUUUUUGAAAAACUUACUUUGAAAUAACCUUAGGUUUAUAGGAAAAGUGCAAAGACAAGACAGAAAGUUCCCAUAUACCCUUCACCCAGCUCCCAGAUUAAUGUUAACAUCUUCUAUAACCAUGAUAUGUUUGUCAAAACUGAAAAAUUAGCUUGGGUACAAUACUAUUCUCUAAACUCCAGACUUUGGAUUUCACCAGUUUCUCCACUAAAGUCCUUUUACUGUUUCAAUAUCUAAUCCAGGAUUCUACACUACAUUUAGUUGUCACAUCUCUUACUCCCCUCUGAUCUGUGACGGGUUUGGUCUUUCCUUGUUUUUCAUGACUAUAAUAUCUUUGAAGGGCACUGGUGCAGUAUUUUGUAGAAUGCCUGAUGUUUUCUCAUGAUUGGACUUGGGUUAUAAGCUUGUGGCAAGAACCACAGAGGUGACACGUCUUCCUCCUUGCAUCAUUUCUGGGGUCACAUGAUACCAGCAUGACUUAGAACUGGGGGUGUUAAUCUUAGUCACUUGGGUAGAGUGGUGUCUGCCAGGCUUAUCAGCCACGACUUACUAUUUUCCCUUUCCACACGCUCUUCUUUGGAAAUGAGUCACUAAGUCUAGCUUACCCUCAGGGGAAAGGAAUUAAACGCCACCUACUGAAAGGGGAGCAGCAUAUAUUACCUAGAAUUCUUCUGUAAAGCAGAUUUACAGAAGACUCUUCUUCUGUAAAGCAGAUUCUGUAAAGACCUUCUGUACAGACUCUUCUGUAAAGAAGAUUCUUAUUUCCUGUUUAUUUAUUCAAUUGUUUGUUUGUAAUAAAUGGAUUCAUGGGUUCUUUUGGCUGUAAGUCAAUACUAUUGCUGUUUAUUUUAUUCCUCUAACUGUUCGGCUUUGGCCACUGACAGCUCUUUCUAGCUGGCCCUUAUGGCCUUCAGAUAUGCCUUUAUGUUUGGUUUGGGUUUUAAGCACUUCCUUACGUUCUGAAUUAGAAGAUAUUUCAGGUUCGUGUUGUAUUUUCCCUGCUAGCUCCAGAAUCAGCCAUUUCUCCAAGAAGCCCUGGUUCCUUUCACAGGAGAACGGUACUCAGAAACUAAGAUCUCGCAGUGGGUGUGCUCCUUGCUGACACUGGAGCGUCACUGCUAGUGGGCAGAGCUAGGAAACAAAUAUGUGAAUCUUAACCCAAAUAUAAACACAACCUAUAUCGAUUUCUAUAUCUUUACAUGGAUUAAGCAUAUAUUAAAAUAUAUCCCAGCCUACCACUAACUUGGCCUCCAGACAGAGUCUUUUCCUGUGAAAGUAAAUGAGAGGAUGUGUUCUCUGAUACACAGAAAGCACUCAAUCUGUGUUGGUUGAGUGAAUGAGUGAGUGAGGAAAGAGAGGAUUUGGGUGUAUGCUGUGGCCUCUCCCUUGUUCAAAUCCACACUCCAUCACUUACUAAAGUGGGCAAGUUACCAGGUCUGGGCAGUUGUUACUUUCUCCUCGGUAUGUUUCUCCGAUAUAGUCUAAAUUUUCUAAAUAUAAACAUGUUAUUUUUUUAAUUUUUAAUUUUUAUUUAUGUAUUUAUUUUGUCUUUUUGCCCUUUCUAGGGCCGCACCCUUGGCACAUGGAGGUUCCCAGGCUAGGGGUCUAAUAGGAGCUGUAGCCGCUGGCCCUAUGCCACAGCUAGUUGGAUUCGUUAACCACUGAGCCGUGAUGGGAACUCCUGUCAUUUUAUAGUUAAUAAAAGAAAACUAUUUAAAAAGCAGCAUCUCCCACACUCUUCCUUACAGUGAAUAUUAAUAAACACUUCGGAGGGUUGCAUGGAGGACAACGAGCAUGUGUGGCACACCAGCCACAAUUUCCUGGCACACCAGAGCUGCCACUUAGUAUGUGUUGGCUGCCAUUGUCUUUCUUGUCCUUUGCUGAUCCUUCCAGAAGCCAUGUUGUGAAACUGAUGACAAAAUCUUCCUCUCUGUUUUUUCCACCAGGUUUGAACAGGGAUGUGGCCACAGCAAGACAGUCAUCAUCAAACGAGCCCCUUUCUUUGUCACCUGGACUCCUCCUACCCAUGUCCUCCUGCAGCGGAGGUCUCUCAGAAUACUCCUGAGUACACAUGGAGGACCCACAACCAAAGCCCAGGACUGGGCGAGCGUCUCCCAGCCCAGCACAAGGUCCUCGUUCAGCUCCAGCUCCUCUGCUCAUUUGCACUGUCCCUCUCCUGCAAUGUCACGAUCUGCACUGGAAGCCCACAGGUGACAGGGUUUGGUCCUCAGAGUAAGCAAAGCAAAGCACCAGCUCCCUGUGACCAUCUCAGUAGCUCUGGCUUCAGUUCUGUCUUUCUACCCAAGAUUCAUUCCUCUGGGGAAAUUUUCCCUUCCCUUCUUCCAAGGAGCAGGAAGAAAGAGGACUUUUUACUUCCAUAUCUCUUUCCAUUUAAAAUAAAAGAGGAGUUCCCAUCGUGGCUCAGAGGAAACGAAUGUGAUUAGCAUCUAUGAGGUCACAGGUUCCAUCCCUGGCCUCCCUCAGUGGGUUAAGGAUUCGGCAUUGCCGGGAGCAGUAGUGUAGGUCACAGACACGGCUCGGAUCUGCCAUUGCUGUGGCUGUGAUGUCGGCCGGUGGCUGCAGCUCCAAUUCGACCCCCUAGCCUAGGAGCCUCCAUUUGCCACAGGAGCGGCCCUAGAAAGACACACAGAAAAAAGAAUGCAAUUAAAGAGAACCACUCAGAAGGAGAGGAAAUAUUUUGCACUUCUAGAACCAAGCAUGCAGAGAUGGUCGACCAUGGCAGCCAAAGUCACAAGUCUGGAAAAAUGUAUCAUUUUCAGCAAAAGCCAAAGGGAACUGAGGGUGUGUCAGAGAAACAAAUCUCAAAAUACUGAGCUUAUCCAAAGCAAACAAAUAGCAUUUGUCAGAGAGCUCACUUUCCACAUGAGUUAUAUCCCUUCCUAGUGGGUUUACACCCAAGCCCCCUCUUCUGUCCACACCACUUUCUAGAGAGUUACCGUGCUUUGCUUGUGCAGUACCCUGUAGGGCUGAGGGAGGGAGGGAGGGGGGACGUCCUCCUUUCCAGCUCAAGGAUGGAGCGCACCCGGCAUCUCUCUCACCUGAGGCACCACUUCCACCUUCCAGCUGGUCUCCUCCCAUGUUUUCUUUACUGCAGGACUUCUCAGAGCCUUUAGUAUCUUGAUGAUCAUCCAAGAGAGAAAUACAUAAUAAUGGACACAUCCCAAACUUAUGCUGGAGGAAUCCUUUAUUCGAGGGGCGUCUACUAGCAUCUCUCUGGCCACUACAGUUCCAGAAACCCAGUUCAGCCUAUAGGAUUCAAUGCCAACUCCUCAACAGUCACUCAAGGCCUUCCAUCGUCUGGGGCUACACCUCCCAUUCCAGGCUCGUUCUCUGCCUCCCUCUUAUACUUUUCCUGUGAGUCCCUAAACAAGAUCAUCUCAUUUCAAGUUUCAGUGCCUUUGCAUAUGCUAUUCCACCAGCCUGAAAUGCUUUUCCCUACCCAUCCUCUGAGGUUGACCCUGCCAAUUCUGUGAAAUGUCCCCAGCUCCCCCAGGCUAAACACAGACAUACUGGCCUUGAUGCUCCCGCAGCUCUCUCGGCCCGCGCCCUGUUAGCAACCCGCCACCCUCGACUACAAAUGUGUUUACAACCUGCCGAUCCUUUGUUUUGCUUCUUGCUCUCUUCGGACCCAACUCCUCAGCCUCCCACCAGUUCUAUGAGACACCCAUUCCCCUUUAAUACUUUUCUUCUUUUUAAAAAAGGUAGUGAGAAUUAGGUUCUGUUGCUUACAAUCGGGAGUUCCCCUUGUGGCUUGGUGCAUUAAGAACCCAAUUAGUAUCCAUGAGGACGCAGGUUUGAUCCCUGGAUGUGGCCAUAAAAAAAGAAAAAAGGCAACCCUCCCCAAAUCUUAACCUCUCCACACCCAGGUAGAAGAAUUUUAAAACAUCUAUAGUCAAAGCAACACAUGUUGAAAAUGGCAAAAAAAAAAAAANAAAAAAAACAAAAAACCUGUUCUAUUUUCAUCGGGGAUUAACGCUCAAGGGACUCCAGGGAAAAUUCAGCGUGAUUUGAGUGAUGCCUGAGGAGCUACCCGCCACGGUGACUCAGACCCUGAGGAAGCCCUUCCUGCAGCGCAGGAGCCACGUGCCCUGAGAUGCUGCUCGUGUCAGUCAAGAAGGUAGAUGCCCACGUCCCUCAGAAGCAGCAGCCCCAGCUCCACUCCACAAGCAGCCUCCUCUACAGCUUCGGGGGCAGGCGGGGCCAGAGCAUCAACCCCUGAACUUGCCCAGGCCAUGUUCAGAAGGCCGCCUGAGAAGUCAUUUCACAAAGGUUUCCAAGAGGAGGAAUUUAUCUUCGAAGCACACGAAGCAGGAGGGAGUGCUAAGCAGGCCCGGAACCUUUGCAACGGGACUCCCCCCUCCUUUCAACACGGGGUGGGUCCAUUUCCCCUCCCCUCGAAUCCGGAUGGCCUCGAAUUUUGCUUUAACUCAAAGACCGAGGCAGAAGCGAUGCUGCGUCAGUUCUGGCCUAGGCCUUCGGAAGCCCAGCAGCUUGGGCUUCACACCCUGGGAACCCUGAGACCAUCCCUCUGGGAAGAAGCCAGGUCUGGCCUCCUGGAAAACGAGAGCCACAGGGAGGAGCACGCCUGCCCUGAGACUCUAGGCGUGUGGGAGUGAGGAGGCUCCCUUGAGCUCCCAGCCCAGCCCUGCCAUGAGCUGAAUGCAGCUCCAGGAGCGAACCCCGCCAAGCCCAGCAGAGAACUGCCCGGCCAGAACCGUGAGAAAUAAUAAGUUACUGUCCGGAGCUACUGAGUUUCAGGGGAGUUUGUUAGGCAGCCAUAGAUGCAAAAACAGCAGGAAGUCUCCGCAAGAAGGAGGGAACACAGACAUGCCUGGUCGUGGGGAAGAAGAUGCCCAAGCAAGGCAGGUGCCCCUUUCGCGAAACCUGCAAAGCAGUGAGGUGUCAGGAACCCGAGUGACAAGACUGCUCCUAUACAGAGAGGUGAUGGGUCCACAGAUGGAGGAAGGGCCUGAGCUGGGACGCGCCUUCCUCACCCCUGCGGUAACGUGCCAGCCCGAGACCAAGGAAGGCAUUAAUGACCUACCAGCCGAACCACCCUGCCUCC